UACGUAGGGGGCAAGCGUUAUCCGGAUUUACUGGGUGUAAAGGGAGCGUAGACGGCCAGACAAGUCUGAAGUGAAAAUCCAGCGCUUAACGUUGGAAGUGCUUUGGAAACUGCCGGGCUAAAGUGCAGGAGGGGCAGGCGGAAUUCCUAGUGUAGCGGUGAAAUGCGUAGAUAUUAGGAGGAACACCAGUGGCGAAGGCGGCCUGCUGGACUGCAACUGACGUUGAGGCUCGAAGGCGUGGGGAGCAAACAGG
RNAcentral lists this ribosomal RNA (253 nucleotides) under uncultured bacterium. Its description in RNAcentral is "partial 16S ribosomal RNA". It matches the Rfam family "Bacterial small subunit ribosomal RNA", at positions 524 to 776 of the family's 1533-position model. The record is from RNAcentral.